This 253-nucleotide ribosomal RNA is filed under the name uncultured bacterium. Its description in RNAcentral is "partial 16S ribosomal RNA". It matches the Rfam family "Bacterial small subunit ribosomal RNA", at positions 524 to 776 of the family's 1533-position model. The record is from RNAcentral.
UACGUAGGGCGCAAGCGUUGUCCGGAAUUAUUGGGCGUAAAGAGCUCGUAGGCGGCUUGUCACGUCGGGUGUGAAAGCCCGGGGCUUAACCCCGGGUCUGCAUUCGAUACGGGCUAGCUAGAGUGUGGUAGGGGAGAUCGGAAUUCCUGGUGUAGCGGUGAAAUGCGUAGAUAUUGGGAAGAACACCUGAGGCGAAGGCGGGUUGCUGGGCUGACACUGACGCUGAGGCGCGAAAGCCAGGGGAGCAAACGGG